This 520-nucleotide ribosomal RNA is filed under the name uncultured Acidobacteriota bacterium. RNAcentral describes it as "bacterial SSU rRNA". It matches the Rfam family "Bacterial small subunit ribosomal RNA", at positions 355 to 864 of the family's 1533-position model. The record is from RNAcentral. Lineage: Bacteria; Pseudomonadati; Acidobacteriota.
UGGGGAAUUGUUCGCAAUGGGCGCAAGCCUGACGACGCAACGCCGCGUGGAGGAUGAAGGUCUUCGGAUUGUAAACUCCUGUUGACCGGGAAGAACUCCCCCGGGGUGAAUAUCCCUGGAGGUUGACGGUACCGGUUGAGGAAGCCCCGGCUAACUCUGUGCCAGCAGCCGCGGUAAUACAGAGGGGGCGAGCGUUGUUCGGAAUUACUGGGCGUAAAGGGCGCGUAGGCGGCCAACUAAGUCGGACGUGAAAUCCCAAGGCUCAACCUUGGAACUGCGUCCGGUACUGGAUGGCUUGAAUCCGGGAGAGGGAUGUGGAAUUCCAGGUGUAGCGGUGAAAUGCGUAGAUAUCUGGAGGAACACCGGUGGCGAAGGCGGCAUCCUGGACCGGUAUUGACGCUGAGGCGCGAAAGCCAGGGGAGCAAACGGGAUUAGAUACCCCGGUAGUCCUGGCCCUAAACGGAUGAAUGCUUGGUGUGGCGGGUAUCGAUCCCUGCCGUGCCGAAGCUAACGCAUUAAG